AUACGGAGGGUGCGAGCGUUAAUCGGAAUUACUGGGCGUAAAGCGUACGUAGGCGGUUGGUUAAGUUAGAUGUGAAAGCCCCGGGCUUAACCUGGGAACUGCAUUUAAAACUGGCGAACUAGAGUUGAGUUGAGGGGAGUGGAAUUUCAGGUGUAGCGGUGAAAUGCGUAGAGAUCUGAAGGAACACCAGUGGCGAAGGCGACUCCCUGGACUCGAACUGACGCUGAGGUACGAAAGCGUGGGUAGCAAACGGGAUUAGAAACACUAGUAGUCC
This 274-nucleotide ribosomal RNA is filed under the name uncultured bacterium. RNAcentral's name for it is "partial 16S ribosomal RNA". It matches the Rfam family "Bacterial small subunit ribosomal RNA", at positions 523 to 796 of the family's 1533-position model. The record is from RNAcentral.